CGUGUAGGCGGCUUGGUCAGCGGUCUGUGAAAGCCCGGGGCUCAACCCCGGAAUUGCAGACCGAACUGCCAGGCUAGAGAACGAGAGGGGACUGUGGAACUCUAGGUGGAGCGGUGAAAUGCGUAGAUAUCUAGAGGAACACCAGUGGCGAAAGCGACAGUCUGGCUCGUUUCUGACGCUGAGGCGCGAAAGCGUGGGUAGCAAACA
RNAcentral lists this ribosomal RNA (207 nucleotides) under uncultured bacterium. RNAcentral's name for it is "partial 16S ribosomal RNA". It matches the Rfam family "Bacterial small subunit ribosomal RNA", at positions 568 to 774 of the family's 1533-position model. The record is from RNAcentral.